CCGGAGAGGGAGCUUGAAAAACGGCUACCACAUCUAAGGAAGGCAGCAGGCGCGCAAAUUACCCAAUCCUAAUACAGGGAGGUAGUGACAAGAAAUAACAAUACAGGACUUUUUGGUUUUGUAAUUGGAAUGAGUUAAGUAUAAACCCCUUUACAAGUAUCAAUUGGAGGGCAAGUCUGGUGCCAGCAGCCGCGGUAAUUCCAGCUCCAAUAGCGUAUAUUAAAGUUGUUGCAGUUAAAAAGCUCGUAGUUGGAUUUCUGUUAAUAAUUUAUAUAAUAUAUUUUGAUAGAUAUUUAUAUAAUAUUAACAUAAUUCAUAUUACUAUUUUUUUUUAGUAUAUGAAAUUUUACUUUGAGAAAAUUAGAGUGCUUAAAGCAGGCAUAUGCCUUGAAUACUCCAGCAUGGAAUAAUAUUAAAGAUUUUUAUCUUUCUUAUUGGUUCUAAGAUAAGAAUAAUGAUUAAUAGGGACAGUUGGGGGCAUUUGUAUUUAACAGUCAGAGGUGAAAUUCUUAGAUUUGUUAAAGACAAACUAAUGCGAAAGCA
Molecule: ribosomal RNA, 543 nt
Filed under: Cryptosporidium parvum
Lineage: Eukaryota; Apicomplexa; Conoidasida; Eucoccidiorida; Cryptosporidiidae
Description: SSU rRNA
Rfam family: Eukaryotic small subunit ribosomal RNA
Source: RNAcentral